GAUGAACGCUAGCGGCAGGCUUAAUACAUGCAAGUCGUGGGGCAGCAGGUUUGUAGCAAUACAGAUGCUGGCGACCGGCAAACGGGUGCGGAACACGUACAGAACCUUCCUUUGGAGCGGGGAAUAGCCCAGAGAAAUUUGGAUUAAUACCCCAUAGUAUAAUGAAGUGGCAUCGACUUUAUUAUUAAAGAUUUAUCACUCGAAGAUGGCUGUGCGGCUGAUUAGGUAGUUGGCGGGGUAAAGGCCCACCAAGCCUGCGAUCAGUAACUGGUGUGAGAGCACGACCAGUCACACGGGCACUGAGACACGGGCCCGACUCCUACGGGAGGCAGCAGUAGGAA
This 341-nucleotide ribosomal RNA is filed under the name uncultured bacterium. RNAcentral's name for it is "bacterial SSU rRNA". It matches the Rfam family "Bacterial small subunit ribosomal RNA", at positions 28 to 360 of the family's 1533-position model. The record is from RNAcentral.